Molecule: ribosomal RNA, 310 nt
Filed under: Gephyrocharax sp. GO-1995
Lineage: Eukaryota; Metazoa; Chordata; Actinopteri; Characiformes; Stevardiidae
Description: partial small subunit ribosomal RNA
Rfam family: Bacterial small subunit ribosomal RNA
Source: RNAcentral
UCCGCCAGGGUACUACAAGCGCUAGCUUAAAACCCAAAGGACUUGACGGUGUCUCAGACCCACCUAGAGGAGCCUGUUCUAGAACCGAUAAUCCCCGUUAAACCUCACCACCCCUUGUUUUCCCCGCCUAUAUACCGCCGUCGCAAGCUUACCCUGUGAAGGUCCCAUAGUAAGCAAAAUGGGUAAAUCCCAAAACGUCAGGUCGAGGUGUAGCUCACGAGGUGGGAAGAAAUGGGCUACAUUUUCUAUAUCAGAAUAAUACGAACGGUACCAUGAAAUUGAUACCCGAAGGUGGAUUUAGUAGUAAAAA